AGACUACAUUUGAAAAUUUGACGGGGCUUUUUGACGACAUUUAUCAUGAGAGCAUUUAAACAUAAAAAAUAUAAGCCUUGUUUUAUUUUUUGUUAUUUUACUAUGAGUAAUUGGGAAUUAUAGUUCUUAGUUAUUUAAGUUCUUAGUUAUUUAAGUCAGCUUAUAGCAAAUAGUAGUUCAGCUUAGAAUAAAUAGACAGCUUACGAUAGAUAGUAGUAGUCUUAGUUAUUUAUGACAACUAUAAUAAUUGUGGAGAAAAAAAAAACUAUCAAGGUUUUGCACUGAGACUCAUGUCUCAAAGUAGAAACCCUAUUUUGCACUGAGACUGAGUUUAUUGAAACCCUAGGUUGAUUAGUAAAAAAAAUCUCAGAUUACUUCAGAGAAAGUCUUAACUAUGGCUGGUUAAAGUAGACCAACAAGGAUUGCUUAGAACGUUGAAGGGGUUGUUGGCGAUUAGAAUUCUUUUUUAACAACAGCGCUAUUUUUAAUGGAGUUUGUUAAAAAAACACAUAUCUCGGCUGGGUACGUUGAACCAAAUGAACUUUUUAAAAAACGUGUUUAUAAAGCAAACUUUAUAUUUGAUAAUUUCAAAGAUUUCUUUGAAAAUAAAGGAGAUCUAAGCGCUGAGCAACGAGUUCAAUGAAAUAAUUACUAAAAAAGAUCACAAUUGAUGCGAUUUCAAAAAAAUUGUUUCGCUUAUACUUGACGUUCUAAGGGAUAACCUUUGGUUUUUGAUUUCCUUUGAUUAACGUUUGCGUCACAGUUCAAAUGACGAAAUUGAUUCUACUUAUGUCUUUAAAACA
This is a long non-coding RNA of Hydra vulgaris (swiftwater hydra), 803 nucleotides long. RefSeq lists it as uncharacterized. NCBI's taxonomy places the organism in Eukaryota, Metazoa, Cnidaria, Hydrozoa, Anthoathecata, Hydridae. The record is from RefSeq and is a predicted model, not a curated record.